UAUUUCAGUUGUCCAUCACAUUAUAAGGUAGAGUUUCAUUUAUUUCAGUUGUCCAUCACAUUAUAAGGUAGAGAUUCAUUUAUUUCAGUUGUCCAUCACAUUAUAAGGUAGAGUUUCAUUUAUUUCAGUUGUCCAUCACAUUAUAAGGUAGAGUUUCAUUUAUUUCAGUUGUCCAUCACAUUAUAAGGUAGAGUUUCAUUUAUUUCAGUUGUCCAUCACAUUAUAAGGUAGAGAUUCAUUUAUUUCAGUUGUCCAUCACAUUAUAAGGUAGAGUUUAAUUGGUAAAUUAUUGCUUUCAGACAACAGGGGAUCUUAGGAGUUUAUCUUUGCGGUCAAUAGUUAGACAAGCCUAAGACGUCAUAAUUUUAUAAGACGUUUGUGAGGGAAACGUCGUAGAAGAGAAGCGUCUUAGGUUUGUCUAAAUUAUUGAUUGGAAAAAUAAAAUUCCUAAGAAUC
RNAcentral lists this long non-coding RNA (456 nucleotides) under Homarus americanus (American lobster). RNAcentral describes it as "uncharacterized LOC121869547". The record is from RNAcentral. Lineage: Eukaryota; Metazoa; Arthropoda; Malacostraca; Decapoda; Nephropidae.